This 463-nucleotide ribosomal RNA is filed under the name uncultured bacterium. RNAcentral describes it as "bacterial SSU rRNA". It matches the Rfam family "Bacterial small subunit ribosomal RNA", at positions 28 to 507 of the family's 1533-position model. The record is from RNAcentral.
GACGAACGCUGGCGGCGUGCUUAACACAUGCAAGUCGAGCGAUGAAGCUUCUUCGGAAGUGGAUUAGCGGCGGACGGGUGAGUAACACGUGGGUAACCUGCCUCAUAGAGGGGAAUAGCCUUCCGAAAGGAAGAUUAAUACCGCAUAAGAUUGUAAUGCCGCAUGGCAUAGCAAUUAAAGGAGCAAUCCGCUAUGAGAUGGACCCGCGUCGCAUUAGCUAGUUGGUGAGGUAACGGCUCACCAAGGCGACGAUGCGUAGCCGACCUGAGAGGGUGAUCGGCCACAUUGGGACUGAGACACGGCCCAGACUCCUACGGGAGGCAGCAGUGGGGAAUAUUGCACAAUGGGGGAAACCCUGAUGCAGCAACGCCGCGUGAGUGAUGACGGUCUUCGGAUUGUAAAGCUCUGUCUUUAGGGACGAUAAUGACGGUACCUAAGGAGGAAGCCAACGGCUAACUACGUG